Molecule: ribosomal RNA, 245 nt
Filed under: uncultured bacterium
Lineage: Bacteria
Description: partial 16S ribosomal RNA
Rfam family: Bacterial small subunit ribosomal RNA
Source: RNAcentral
UACAGAGGUCUCAAGCGUUGUUCGGAUUCAUUGGGCGUAAAGGGUGCGUAGGCGGCGCGGUAAGUCGGGUGUGAAAUCUCGGAGCUUAACUCCGAACUGCAUUCGAUACUGCCGUGCUUGAGGACUGGAGAGGAGACUGGAAUUUACGGUGUAGCGGUGAAAUGCGUAGAUAUCGUAAGGAAGACCAGUGGCGAAGCGGUCUCUGGACAGUUCCUGACGCUGAGGCACGAAGUCAGGAGCAACGG